This 255-nucleotide ribosomal RNA is filed under the name uncultured bacterium. RNAcentral's name for it is "partial 16S ribosomal RNA". It matches the Rfam family "Bacterial small subunit ribosomal RNA", at positions 15 to 263 of the family's 1533-position model. The record is from RNAcentral.
GAUCCUGGCUCAGGACGAACGCUGGCGGCGUGCCUAACACAUGCAAGUCGAGCGGAGACAGUGAGUAGCUUGCUAUGAACUGUUUUAGCGGCGGACGGGUGAGUAACGCGUGAGCAACCUUUCCCAGACAGGGGAAUAACACACCGAAAGGUGUACUAAUACCGCAUAAGACCACGGGAUCACAUGGUUCUGUGGUAAAAGAUUUAUCGGUUUGGGGUGGGCUCGCGUCCGAUUAGGUAGUUGGUGAGGUAACGG